CUCGUGCUGGUGGUCCGCCAGCUCCUGAGGCAGAGACGUCCAGCGGGCUUCCCCCCGGGUCCUCCGCGGCUGCCAUUCAUCGGCAACAUCUGCUCCCUGGCCCUGUCGGCCGAUCUUCCCCACGUCUACAUGAGGAAGCAGAGCCGGGUGUUUGGCGAGGCUUACUCAAUUCCAGAUAUGGCAGAGGAUGGAUUGAUCACAGAAGAUUGGCUGUUAACAGCUUUCAUUAUUUUGGAAGUGGCCAAAAAUCUUUUGAAUCUAAAAUCUUAGAAGAAACUUGGUCUUUAAUUGAUGCUAUUGAAACAUACAAAGGUAGACCUUUUGACCUCAAGCAACUGAUAACAAAUGCUGUUUCAAACAUAACUAACCUUAUCCUUUUUGGAGAACGAUUCACUUAUGAAGACACUGAUUUUCAGCACAUGAUUGAGUUAUUCAGUGAGAAUGUCGAACUAGCUGCCAGUGCUCCGGUCUUCCUUUACAAUGCAUUUCCAUGGAUUGGCAUCUUACCUUUCGGAAAACAUCAAAGGCUAUUUAGAAAUGCAGAUGUGGUCUAUGAUUUCCUCUCCAAACUUAUUGAAAAAGCUGCAGUAAAUAGAAAGCCUCAUUUGCCUCAGAAUUUUGUUGAUGCCUAUUUAGAUGAGAUGGAUAAAGGUCAAAAUGAUCCUUUAUCUACGUUCUCCAAAGAGAAUCUAAUUUUCUCAGUGGGUGAACUCAUCAUUGCUGGAACUGAAACUACAACCAAUGUGCUCCGCUGGGCAGUUCUGUUCAUGGCCCUUUAUCCUAAUAUUCAAGGACAAGUUCAUAAAGAGAUUGAUUUAAUUAUGGGACACGACAGGAGGCCUUCUUGGGAAGACAAAUGCAAAAUGCCUUAUACUGAAGCAGUUUUGCAUGAAGUUUUAAGAUUCUGUAAUAUAGUUCCACUGGGGAUUUUCCAUGCAACUUCUGAAGAUGCAGUUGUACGUGGCUAUUCCAUUCCUAAAGGCACAACAGUCAUUACAAAUCUUUAUUCUGUUCACUUUGAUGAAAAGUACUGGAAAGACCCAGACAUGUUCUAUCCUGAGCGAUUUCUGGACAGCAGUGGAUAUUUUACUAAAAAGGAAGCUUUGAUUCCUUUUUCUCUAGGGAGAAGACACUGUCUUGGAGAACAGCUGGCUCGGAUGGAAAUGUUCUUGUUUUUUACAUCAUUGCUUCAGCAAUUUCAUUUGCAUUUCCCACACGAACUAGUUCCAAACUUGAAACCCAGGUUGGGCAUGACAUUACAACCCCAGGCCUACCUCAUCUGUGCAGAAAGACGCUGAAAGAGCACAAAUAUAUUGGGAAUAACCUUGUUCAAUCGAUAAUGGUGUUUAGGCCAAAGAUACAGUUUUAAAAAGCCAAAUAAACACAAAUACAUCGCUUAAAAUAGUACUAGAGCAAUAACAAGCAUUAGUUAUUUUUUUCAAACUUCCAUGAAUUCUUAUUGUAGAAUGUAUUGAACAGCACAAAGGUACAAGUGUUAUGAAGAUUUUAAGAAGGUCCAUGGAUGCUCUAAAAGUUCUUGCUUAGUAUAAGAUUCUUCUCAUCUGUCUCCAUUCUAAGGAACUUUACUCCCUAACUGAUUAAUUUAAUGGUGAGGUGUAUCCCCCCCAUAUACACAUAAUUAAAAAUAAUAGAAAUAGUCUUUUUUAAAAAGUAGGAAGAACAUGGAUUUAACUUUAACUUUCAUUGUCUGGUAAAAAUUUCCUAGUUAGUUCUGCGGUACAAAUUAGGAGUUUUUGGCAUCUGAUGUCUUAAGAUAUUUCUAGUCCCAAGGGAAAGAAAACCCUGGGCAAACAUACCAAUUUAGAGGUAAUAUGAAAGGAUUAAGGUUGUAAUAGUGUAGAUGAUUCACACUUUAAUUUAAAAAAAAAACAAGCAUUUCUUUGUGUCAUUGUUUUGCUUUCCAGAUGAUACCAACUUUAUUUGAAGGCUAGCUUAUGAGAGUACAUGUGCUGAGCACAGUGCCACAUGAAGAGAUCAAGCUUGGCUUCGGGAAAUACGAUGAGAGUUUCUCAUGUAACCCCAUAAAACUCUUCCUGGUGUUACAGAGAGCAUGAGUCACACGUUCAUACAUUAACACUGUUCUUUAUUUUCACUUCUCUAGACUUUCUGAGCUACGUGAGAGUGAAAUAGUUGUCUAAACAGUUAUGAAAGGAAGAGGAUCUGCAGAUCAGAGCCUCUUAGUGUUUCAGACUUAACUUCCUGAAUCCUAACAGAUGUACUGUCAUGUUGCUCUCUAGUUUUGUUUUGGGUUUUUUUUUCUUUGACAUAGCAAAAACCUUACAACUUUAGGCCUUUUCUUUACUACAGUUUCUUAUAAAAGCUUAAGUUAAUUCUAUAUUCUGGGACUUCUACUAACAGUAAGACUUCUUGGCAGUCUUACUGAAGAAGAUAACUUGGUAAAGUAGAUUGUGGUAAAAAUUAAGUAGUCUUUGUUCUCUGGAGUAUGGCUACUACUGCUUUUAGUAUGUGGUCAGGGACUCAAUACACCCAUGCAGAAUGCUGUUUUGUUUACCUAUGCCUUAGGAAAUAUAUUUAAUUUUUCUUACAUCAGUAUUCAUAAACUAAUAAAAGCAGAAGAACCUUAAUCUCACUUACUGCCCUAAUUGUGUAGUCAGAAAGAUGGAGGACCAGACAGGAGAAUUAAUUGCCUUGUAACAAGCUUGAAAAUUAAGCAUAUAAUAUACCAAAAGUAAACUUCAAAAGCUUCCAGAAGCACAAAUAAUAUGUAUAUAUUAUCCUCUAAAAAUAAUACAAUGUGCAGACUUUUUAAAAAGAAAAUAAAACCAGAAAGC
Molecule: long non-coding RNA, 2813 nt
Filed under: Rattus norvegicus (Norway rat)
Lineage: Eukaryota; Metazoa; Chordata; Mammalia; Rodentia; Muridae
Description: long non-coding RNA NONRATT003075
Source: RNAcentral